Molecule: non-coding RNA, 111 nt
Organism: Alternaria alternata
Lineage: Eukaryota; Fungi; Ascomycota; Dothideomycetes; Pleosporales; Pleosporaceae
Source: the annotation of a RefSeq genome assembly
GGUCUUAUGGUCUAGUGGUAUGAUUCUCGCUUAGGGUAGGCGUCUUCUGGACGCCACAAAGCCUGAGCAACAGCUUGCGAGAGGCCCCGCGUUCGAGUCGCGGUAAGACCC